GGACUCUAUCAUGACAAAUAAAAUGGCAGUAAGAACAUAUAAUAAAGUAGUAAAUAUCAAAACCAAAAGUAACUCCAAAGUAAGAACAGCUCGGAAAUCCAGAUUUAACUACUUAAAGAUAAAUUUUCAAGUAACGAUUAUUUCCAGUAGUCUGAGAUUUUACCUGUAUUAUUACAAUGAGAGCAGCCACAAUAGGUGGACCAAUAACUACAGAAAGGAAAAUUCCCUUUAUCAUGUCCCUAAAGAAUAGCCAUGGUGUUUGCUGUAUGAUAGAUGACAAAAAAAUGUUAGAAUGCAAGCAUAUAUGAAUUUCGCAACAGAUAAACUUCUAUUAAUAUUAGCCAAAUGAGAUGUCAAAUAAAACUAAAGUUGCAGACUAAAAAGAUUGAUGAAAUAAUAGAUAGAUGAUUGAAUUUGAAAGAAGGAUAUGAACCUUAUAUCAUCUCCUUGGCUGCUUCUGAAAUGGCAACAUAUUCUGAUUUAGUGGUUGAGAGAGCAACUUUUAGUGUAACUCUACCAGCAACCACAAACCCCAUCUAAACCAAGCACCAGCCAAUAAGUGCAAUGUCAGGUAUGUUUUUAUUUUCUUUUAGUGUUUGGUGCUUUUUUUUUAAUGAUGGGCUAAAUUAGACAUUCCACUUAAAUGACUGAGUUACUAGCGACGUCUAUUUUAAGAUGGUGUGGAUGUGAUUAUUCGAUCAAGGAGGAUUUAAAUGUAAUUAGCACUAACCUAAAGGAGAGUUCAAUGUAAGUACCCCAAAAUUAAUAUAUUUUUAAUCGAAAAAAUUAGAAGCCCGAAAAUUCUCACUGGAGUGAACUUAUUGAAGAGUGGAGCUAUUAGAACAGGAUAAAUAGUCAGCAUCACAAUAGAAAGAGCAAACAUAAACGCCCAAAGAUAGAUGGCUAAGUAUGGACCUCCAUUCUGCAAAAAUUCAAAUGAAAAUUAAAAUAGGAAGAAAGGACUCUAUCAUGACAAAUAAAAUGGCAGUAAGAACAUAUAAUAAAGUAGUAAAUAUCAAAACCAAAAGUAACUCCAAAGUAAGAACAGCUCGGAAAUCCAGAUUUAACUACUUAAAGAUAAAUUUUCAAGUAACGAUUUUUUCCAGUAGUCUGAUAUUUUACCUGUAUUAUUACAAUGAGAGCAGCCACAAUAGGUGGACCAAUAACUACAGAAAGGAAAAUUCCCUUUAUCAUGUCCCUAAAGAAUAGCCAUGGUGUUUGCUGUAUGAUAGAUGACAAAAAAAUGUUAGAAUGCAAGCAUAUAUGAAUUUCGCAACAGAUAAACUUCUAUUAAU
Molecule: long non-coding RNA, 1295 nt
Filed under: Lotus japonicus
Lineage: Eukaryota; Viridiplantae; Streptophyta; Magnoliopsida; Fabales; Fabaceae
Description: long non-coding RNA (LJAP_LNC001141)
Source: RNAcentral